Molecule: unclassified non-coding RNA, 1083 nt
Filed under: Avena ventricosa
Lineage: Eukaryota; Viridiplantae; Streptophyta; Magnoliopsida; Poales; Poaceae
Description: partial external transcribed spacer
Source: RNAcentral
UCGGUGUUUACAUGUUCGAGCCGAGUCCCUUCUAAGAAAGCUCUCCGGAUCAGAAAGUGUCGUAGAACGGUGUGUUGCCUUCUCUCCACAGUCUGUGGUAGGAUACGCAACACGCUGGACCGAUGCUAGAUGGGGAAGGAGAGCGUGGCACCGAGUCCCUUCAGAGAAAGCUCUCCGGAUCAGAAAGUGUCGUAGAACGGUGUGUUGCCUUCUCCCCACAGUCUGUGGUAGGAUACGCAACACGCUGGACCGAUGCUAGUAGGGGAAGGAGAGCGUGGCACCGAGUCCCUUCAGAGAAAGCUCUCCGGAUCAGAAAGUGUCGUACAACGGUGUGUUGCCUUCUCCCCACAGUCUGUGGUACGAUACGCAACACGCUGGAGCGAUGCUAGAUGGGGAAGGAGAGCGUAGCCCCUGUGACGGUAAUUGUUGCCGAUGUAACACCCGCGCGCUGUGGACACUCAGGACGCCUUCAUGCAAGCGAUUCUCCCAUGCUAUGCGUGGGAGGAGGCUUGGUAGGUUAGACUGCUGUGGCUACGCGAGCGCAUGAGUAGCUUUGGACCCGUGUCUGUUGGUAGAUCCCCCGUCCUCGUGCGGCCGACUACCGACGCCGUGUCCCAUCAUUCGUGUGGCUUAUGUUACAGUUGCCUUUCAAGUGCUUGCGUGCAUGUACCCGACCUACGGGAAGUGGUGCUUCGUACAUGUUUGCCUCGCGGCGGACACCUUCGGGUGUACCGUUGUGGCCUAAUGGCGCUUGCGGCGUUUCCUCGUGGUGCUGGCAUGUUUUUUGCUCGGUGCUAUCAAGGAAGCCUCGUUAUCGCUGUUGGUUUCGGAUGCUGCUCAUGAUAAAGGCUCAUGGCCCUUUUGGUGCCUAGAACCGACACAGAAGCUAUCUGGAUCAGAACGUGUCGUAGAACGGGAUGUUGCCUCUACCUCUCCACAGUUAGUGGUAGGAUACGCAGCAGGCUGGACCGAUGCUAGUAGGAGAAGGAAAGCUUAGCCCGCUCAAUUGCGACAACCGGCUCGGCCGUUGUCUGCCUGCAAGGGCGGAUUGCUACCGAUGCUGGACGUCAAAGAGGACGUGCU